ACAUUCAGCACCUACAGCUUCCAUCGAGAUGUCGCACAAUACACUCAAUUCCUGGACAUCAGAAGCGAUGCCGACAUCUUUGGGCGUGUCUGUUCGACGAACAUAUGGCUUCAAAUGGCGAACAUUCAACCUGUCAACCAAUCUGGACACUCUUUUGGCUGUCAUGGACUCCACCUUAAACGGUCCAGCCCAACGUUCCUCUGCAGCGUCUCUUCACUGUUCGCGAUCUCAAAGUCAUCUACCUUUGGAUCGGCGCUGCUGCCGUGAUGAACCCGAUAAAUUGCAAAAUAUGGGCUCACCUUUGUGGAACGCUGCUUCGAGGUGUUUAUCGAAUAAACAGCGUGUUGCAGAUAGACGUCCCAGUCAUUCCGCUCCUCAUUACAGUACUUUGCAAGAUGCCGCUUAAUGUUCUGGUUUGAGCGCUCAUCUUGCCCAUUGCGCUGCGGGUGGUAGGCUGAAGUUACAGCAUGCUCUAUCCCAAAGGUUUCAAAAAGAGCUUUGUUACAGUCAUUAACAAACUCUCAGUUUAUGUUAUUUAACGCUACAGAUUACACCUAACACACGUGUAAUUCAGUUGCUAUUAAUGUUGAACAGCAACGUUAAACGUGACACCACAUUAAAUGUCAGGCAAACGACGUUGCAGCUCAGCGGGAAAAGUAGAGGUCCUGGUAUUAGCCAAUCAAAUAAAUGGUGUUUUCCGUUCCUGCCUGGUAACUCAUCUUAACCAAUCAACAUUCUAGAAUUACAUCCGUAUGCGGAUCGUUUUUGAGUCAACCCAUCGUCUACUUACAGGUUCCACUACUGGGUUCAGUGUUGUUGCUAAUGAGGCGAUAAUUGGUGUGACACACCUCAAGACUUCCUCUUACCUGGAAGUCUGUGAAAGGGAUACCAGCAUUGCUACCCUUGUGUGCGCCCAUUACUGCUGUGUUGCAGGUGCAAUAAAGUGGUGACAGAUUAACGUCCACGACUCCACUGCAUGUACUUUUGACCACCCAGAGACAUUUUAUUUAUAAUUAUUUAUAAUUAUUGUAGCGGGCUGGUUAGAGUCCGUUACACAUCUAUCUGUCUAAACAAGUUACUGAACAAAACCUGGUGGUGUUCUUUGUUUGUCGUUUUUCAUUGUAACCUAAUGUUUUGUUUUUGUUUUAUUUGUACAUCAUGAUUUGUAAAUAAAGACACUUUGUGACAAAAUAUAGGG
Molecule: long non-coding RNA, 1198 nt
Organism: Clupea harengus (Atlantic herring)
Lineage: Eukaryota; Metazoa; Chordata; Actinopteri; Clupeiformes; Clupeidae
Source: Ensembl